AGAGUUUGAUCCUGGCUCAGAACGAACGUUAGCGGCGCGCCUAACACAUGCAAGUCGCACGAGAAAGGGCUUCGGCCCCAGUACAGUGGCGCACGGGUGAGUAACACGUGGGUAAUGUUCCCUCAGGCGGGGGAUAACCUUCCGAAAGGAGGGCUAAUACCGCAUAAGACCACGGGCUCGCGAGAAGCUGAGGUGUAAAGCAGGCCUCUCAUGAAAGCUGCACCGGAGGAUCAGCCCGCGGCGGAUUAACUGGUGGCGGGGUAUUGGCCACCAGGCGACGAUCGUGCUGUCUGAGAGAGAUAGCAACUGGACGAGACCGCCAACUCUCGGAGCGCGUGGAUUGCCAUGCAAGCUAUCGCACCGGUAGAGAGCUCGGUGUAACUUUAGAGACAGCACCGGUAUGCCAAGGUACGUACUCGAGAGCCCGCUACUCGGCACGC
Molecule: ribosomal RNA, 440 nt
Filed under: uncultured bacterium
Lineage: Bacteria
Description: bacterial SSU rRNA
Rfam family: Bacterial small subunit ribosomal RNA
Source: RNAcentral